Molecule: long non-coding RNA, 848 nt
Filed under: Homo sapiens (human)
Lineage: Eukaryota; Metazoa; Chordata; Mammalia; Primates; Hominidae
Description: HSALNT0384402
Source: RNAcentral
CUCCAUUUGACUCCCGACAGCCUGAACUCGUCACGUAGGUAAGAAAACUUUUUAAAGACCAUUUGGACUUUGCUUUGUUUCAGUGAAAUGGGUCGUGAGAAAAAGUGCCUUCCAACGACCAACUCCCUAAAUCCAACACCCUUCUCUUUACAGCGUCUUCACAUCCAACCUUUACAACCAAGACUCUAUACCUCAAACUACAGUGCCUUGGAAAAUUACUGCCACAUCGGCAGAAAACCGAGUUACCUUUCGAGUCAGGUUUGAUUCUGAUGCAGGCAGCCAUGUGCGGCAGGGCUUUCGCACGGUUGCAAGCGCACACCUGGCCGGAUGCUGGCUGCACCACACACUGCCAAGUACAAACUCCCCGAAAAACAGGUGGAUUCGGAAACCAACAGCGCCCGGGUCAGAACUCUGGGCCAGUCCAAAACCUGACAACAUCUGCGUUCCUUGCAGGUAUUUUCGAACGUAAGCCCGACGCUAGGCAGUGCUGUUAGAAAGUGAUUUGGAAGAGCGCUUCCGAGCCACGGCGCGCCCUCCGGGGGAGCGCACCGGAGCAGGUGCGGGCGAGCCCCGCGCCCGGGGAGGUCAGGAAUUCCCCAGCCACACCAGAUCCAACCGGACGCCCCAGAACGGGGACGGUCCCCGGAGUCCGCCUCCCAACCUGGCACCUUGAGGAAGAAAUUGUCUUGUCUACAGCUCUAUCCUCAGUACAGCACCAAGCUUACAGUGGAUGCUCAGUGAAGAUUUGCCGAUUUGCCGAAUGAAUGCUUUCACCCCUGCAACUGUUUACUGCCUGCUAGGAGCUCAGAGCCUCUGGGAUACAGGCUGGGAAUGACAGUGCCUGCUCG